RNAcentral lists this ribosomal RNA (1673 nucleotides) under Firmicutes bacterium CAG:24053_14. RNAcentral describes it as "bacterial LSU rRNA". It matches the Rfam family "Bacterial large subunit ribosomal RNA", at positions 1 to 1847 of the family's 2925-position model. The record is from RNAcentral. Lineage: Bacteria; Bacillati; Bacillota.
AGGUCAAGCUGUUAAGAGCGCAAGGGGAAUGCCUUGGCAUCAGGAGCCGAUGAAGGACGUGACAAGCUGCGAUAAGCUUCGGGGAGGCGCAAAUAGCCGUUGAUCCGGAGAUUUCCGAAUGGGGAAACCCGGCAGAGCAAUACUCUGUCAGCGUGCAUUAACCGCCUGAACUGAAACAUCUAAGUAGGGCGAGGAAGAGAAAUCAACCGAGAUUCCGCUAGUAGUGGCGAGCGAACGCGGAAGAGGCCAAACCGGAGGAUUUAUUCUCCGGGGUUGCGGACAGUCAAAAGGAAAGAAUGGUUAGACGAAUGGCCUGGGAAGGCCAGCCACAGAGGGUGAUAGCCCUGUAGUCGAAAACGAUUCUUUCAUGGACUGGAUCCAGAGUACCACGGGACACGUGAAACCCUGUGGGAAGCAGGGGGGACCACCCUCCUAAAUACUACCUGAUGACCGAUAGAGGAGCAGUACCGUGAGGGAAAGGUGAAAAGGACCCCGGGAGGGGAGUGAAACAGAACCUGAAACCUUGUGCUUACAAGCACUCAAAGCCCGUUAAUGGGUGAUGAGGUACCUUUUGUAGAAUGGUCCGGCGAGUUAUUGUUAUCAGCGAGCUUAAGGUAUUCAGUACCGAAGGCGAAGGGAAACCGAGUGUUAAUAGCGCGACUUAGUUGGUGGCAAUAGACCCGAAACCGGGUGACCUAUCCAUGGGCAGGUUGAAGUGGAGGUAAAACUCCAUGGAGGACCGAACGCACGUUCGUUGCAAUGACCGGCGAUGACCUGUGGAUAGCGGUGAAAUUCCAAUCGAACCCGGAGAUAGCUGGUUCUCCCCGAAAUAGCUUUAGGGCUAGCGUUAUGUUAGAUUACCGGAGGUAAAGCACUGAAUGGGCUAGGGGCUGAUAAAGUUACUGAACCCUAUCAAACUCAGAAUGCCGGCUAAUUGAUGCAUAGCAGUCAGACUACGUGAGAUAAGUCUCGUGGUCAAAAGGGAAACAGCCCAGACCCACAGCUAAGGUCCCUAAUAGAUACUAAGUGGAAAACGAUGUGAGAUUGCCUAGACAACCAGGAUGUUGGCUUAGAAGCAGCCACUCAUUAAAAGAGUGCGUAAUAGCUCACUGGUCGAGUGGUCUUGCGCGGAAAAUAUAACGGGGCUAAGUAUCUAACCGAAGCUUGGGCUUGUGUUAACACAGGGGUAGGGGAGCGUCGAAUACGGGGUAGCGAGAAUUAUGUGGGAAUCAUAAUGGCCGAAAAUCUAAGGUUUCUUGGGGAAGGUUCGUCCGCCCAAGGUAAGCCGGGAGCUAAGGCGAGGCCGAGAGGCGUAGUCGAUGCACAUACGGUUGAAAUUCCGUAGCCGCUGACAUUUAAACCACAGUGACACUUUGAGAUAGGAGAUCCCGGGCGAUGGUUGCCCCGGGCGUAAGGGACCGAAUACGAGUAGGGAAGUCCGCGAUGUUCCGAGGCGAGAAAAGGCGAAGGUAGGGUGCCCGUACCGCAAACCGACACAGGUAGAUGAGGAGAGAAUCCUAAGGCCAACGGGAGAAGGGUUGUUAAGGAACUCGGCAAAAUGACCCCGUAACUUCGGGAUAAGGGGAGCCUGUCUAUGGCAGGCCGCAGAGAAUAGGCCCAAGCGACUGUUUACCAAAAACACAGGUCUAUGCUAAAUCGAAAGAUGACGUAUA